CUCGACAAACUACAUGAGGUUGGGUUGUGUGAUUGGACCCUGUUUGUGUGCCAGCAGGAAGGGACAAGCAAGAGAAAGUACUGCUAUUCCACUGGAUUUUACUUCCUUUGAUUUCACCAAACUUUGUAUUAUUAUUUUCUUCUGGUAUAGUUCUGCCAAUUUUUUUGCUUCAAUUAGCACAGGAAUAAUGAAGUGAUAUUCAUUCACUUGUUAUCAGUUCACUAUUUUGAAAUGUGAUCUUGCUUGUUACAGCCUGGUGAACAGUUUGCUCUUUUGCUGUCAAAUACUUUGUUGUUGGCUUAUUUUUGAAUACAGAUUGGAUGCCUCGCUGCAUGUUACUCCCAAGAGGUGGGCUUGCAGUUCUUAUUUGGCUUAUCUGUUUCAAUAAGUUAUUCAACACCGUACCUAGCACAGUCAUUGGAAAUAAGAAAAGUGCCCUCUCCUGACCAGCAACAACUAGAUCCAUUCGGGAAUAUUCCAUUCUGAAAAUGAGUAUAAAUUUGAGUUAUUUUAGUUGUCUAUUUAGAACAUGAUUUACCUAAAUUCUGAAAGUACUGCAUUUGCACUAUACAUAUGAUGCAGAAGAUCUCACUCAAGAAGUGGCCAAACUGAGGUGCCAGGUGAUUGGCAUGCUUGAGGAAGAAUACAAGCAUUGGUGCUGCAUUGNNN
RNAcentral lists this long non-coding RNA (669 nucleotides) under Triticum aestivum (bread wheat). Its description in RNAcentral is "long non-coding RNA (TAES_LNC022958)". The record is from RNAcentral. Lineage: Eukaryota; Viridiplantae; Streptophyta; Magnoliopsida; Poales; Poaceae.